Molecule: ribosomal RNA, 255 nt
Filed under: Salmonella enterica subsp. enterica serovar Muenchen
Lineage: Bacteria; Pseudomonadati; Pseudomonadota; Gammaproteobacteria; Enterobacterales; Enterobacteriaceae
Also listed under: 12 other names
Description: partial 23S ribosomal RNA
Rfam family: Bacterial large subunit ribosomal RNA
Source: RNAcentral
CUAACUGGAGGACCGAACCGACUAAUGUUGAAAAAUUAGCGGAUGACCUGUGGCUGGGGGUGAAAGGCCAAUCAAACCGGGAGAUAGCUGGUUCUCCCCGAAAGCUAUUUAGGUAGCGCCUCGUGAACUCAUCUCCGGGGGUAGAGCACUGUUUCGGCUAGGGGGCCAUCCCGGCUUACCAACCCGAUGCAAACUGCGAAUACCGGAGAAUGUUAUCACGGGAGACACACGGCGGGUGCUAACGUCCGUCGUGAA